AUGCUGUCUGCUUCCUGCUCAGGACUUGUGAUCUUGUUGAUAUUCAGGAGGACCAAUGGAGACUCGGUGACCCAGACAGAAGGCCCAGUUACCCUCCCUGAGCGGGCAGCUCUGACACUAAACUGCACUUAUCAGUCCAGCUAUUCAGCUUUUCUAUUCUGGUAUGUCCAGUAUCUAAACAAAGAGCCUGAGCUCCUCCUGAGAAGUUCAGAAAACCAGGAGACGGACAGCAGAGGUUUUCAGGCCAGUCAUGUCAAGAGUGACAGUUCCUUCCACCUGGAGAAGCCCUCGGUGCAGCUGUCGGACUCUGCCGUGUACUACUGCGUUCUGAGAGACACAGUGGGUGGGACUGCAGCGAGAGCCCAGCACAAACCCCGGAGGCUGCAGGUGGGGCCUGAGUGUGAGCCGCUUACGAAAUUCUGCUACCUGAGUAAGUGCUAUGAGGAGAGUGUCCUGAUGAGAGGCUUUCCUUGUGCUAUUGGCACUGUGGUUUCAGAACAGCCCAGUCAGUAA
Pongo pygmaeus (Bornean orangutan) is the source of this 513-nucleotide non-coding RNA. The record is from the annotation of a RefSeq genome assembly. NCBI's taxonomy places the organism in Eukaryota, Metazoa, Chordata, Mammalia, Primates, Hominidae.